Molecule: unclassified non-coding RNA, 241 nt
Filed under: plant metagenome
Description: partial contains small subunit ribosomal RNA, internal transcribed spacer 1, and 5.8S ribosomal RNA
Source: RNAcentral
UUUCCGUAGGUGACCCUGCGGAAGGAUCAUUAAAGAGUAAGGGUCUUCGGGCCCGAUCUCCAACCCUUUGUUUAACUACCAUGUUGCUUUGGCGGGCCCGUCUCACGACCGCCGGAAGGUUGGCUUCGACCAAGCAUCUGGCCCGUGCCCGUCAGUGGACCCUUAAAAUUCUUGUCCAGGUAUGAUGUCUUAGUUAAAAACUUAAUAGUUAAAACUUUCAACAACGGAUCUCUUGGUUCUG